This is a long non-coding RNA of Chinchilla lanigera (long-tailed chinchilla), 537 nucleotides long. Ensembl lists it as uncharacterized. The record is from Ensembl. Lineage: Eukaryota; Metazoa; Chordata; Mammalia; Rodentia; Chinchillidae.
GCGCCGGGCACAGGACCGAGCCGGCCGAGGAGCGCCCGGCGGGCUCGGCGUGUGCGGACGGCGAUCGAUCGCGGAGGCUGGCGUUUUGAGCUGCGUCCGCUGCCCGCCGGCGGGGGCACCGAGGGUGACCUCGUCGAUCUCCCGCUCAACCCGUCCUGCCCGCCGGACUGAGGAGAGGCGCGCGUGGACUUAGAGCGGCUGAGCGAGAUUUUUGGAUUCAAGCUGUCAAAACGAGUUGAAAACGUUUCUGCAGAAGCUGAGGUUUUCAGGCGUGAUGUGACGCUCAGGUCGUGAAAAGUCUGCAUGCAGGAUGCUCCAGGGAUUAAAGGAGACCACAGCAGUAACAGACAGAAGGUGGAAACAUCCCUUGAGGUGACGUCCUGUCCUGGCGCAGCAGGGGCUCCCGGGAAGUUUCUCUUGGUGUGUGCAGGGAUGCUCGUACCCACGGCUACCCUGGUGUUGUCUGUCUUUAAAUCCACUCGUUACCGUGACAGGUUUUUAAAUAAAUUUCACGAUGACGUAAAUAAAUGAGGUUUA